AUUGAACGCUGGCGGCAUGCCUUACACAUGCAAGUCGAACGGCAGCACGGGAGCAAUCCUGGUGGCGAGUGGCGAACGGGUGAGUAAUAUAUCGGAACGUGCCCGGUCGUGGGGGAUAACGUAGCGAAAGCUACGCUAAUACCGCAUACGAUCUACGGAUGAAAGCGGGGGAUCGCAAGACCUCGCGCGAUUGGAGCGGCCGAUAUCAGAUUAGGUAGUUGGUGAGGUAAAGGCUCACCAAGCCGACGAUCUGUAGCUGGUCUGAGAGGACGACCAGCCACACUGGGACUGAGACACGGCCCAGACUCCUACGGGAGGCAGCAGUGGGAAUUUUGGACCAAAUGGGGCGCAAAGCCUGAUCCAGCAAUGCCGCGUGCAGGAUGAA
This 385-nucleotide ribosomal RNA is filed under the name uncultured bacterium. RNAcentral's name for it is "bacterial SSU rRNA". It matches the Rfam family "Bacterial small subunit ribosomal RNA", at positions 29 to 412 of the family's 1533-position model. The record is from RNAcentral.